GACGGAGGAGGCUAGCGUUGUUCGGAAUUACUGGGCGUAAAGCGCGCGCGGGCGGCCAAGCAAGUCAGGGGUGAAAGCCCGGGGCUCAACCUCGGAACGGCCUUUGCGACUGCUUGGCUUGAGACCGGAAGAGGAGAGUGGAAUUCCCAGUGUAGAGGUGAAAUUCGUAGAUAUUGGGAAGAACACCAGUGGCGAAGGCGGCUCUCUGGUCCGGUACUGACGCUGAGGCGCGAAAGCGUGGGGAGCAAACAGG
RNAcentral lists this ribosomal RNA (253 nucleotides) under uncultured bacterium. Its description in RNAcentral is "partial 16S ribosomal RNA". It matches the Rfam family "Bacterial small subunit ribosomal RNA", at positions 524 to 776 of the family's 1533-position model. The record is from RNAcentral.